UCUGGGCGGAGUAGCGACCGCCUGUAACCCGAGCGGGAGAUGGAGACUGUGGAGCAGGGUUUCUCUGCUGGUACCGGCUGCGGCAUGUCGAUGGCGUGUCCACCCGAAGCGUGGGGUCACCGGCUGGGGCCUCUCCGGAAGGGGAGGCACCGGUGGUGAUAGUGUAGAGGGCAACGCGUGAGGCGGGGAACCGAGCAACGACAACUUCUCGCCCUGUGCAGUCGGGGGAUCGCAUGCCUGAAUGUCCGUUCACCGGGAGUCCCAGUAGAUUCCAGCUCUGCCACCAGUCUCU
This is a non-coding RNA of Marchantia polymorpha subsp. polymorpha, 292 nucleotides long. It matches the Rfam family "Plant signal recognition particle RNA". The record is from Rfam. Lineage: Eukaryota; Viridiplantae; Streptophyta; Marchantiopsida; Marchantiales; Marchantiaceae.